CGGCUGAGGCUGCGGCCACUGCCUGGCACCCCGACGGGAGGGGCUCCGGAUCGUUCGGAGCCGGCUGAACCCCUUCGGCCGCGAGCGACCGCAUGAGUCGGGGGACUAUGCCCCAGCCCGAAGCGUGGCCAGGCGCGAGCUGCGCCGAGACGCCGGCGCGGGAGGGCGGGAAGGCGGCGGCCAGCGGGCAGCCGCGGCCCGAGAUGCAGUGCCCGGCCGAGCAUGAGGAGGACAUGUACCGUGCUGCAGAUGAAAUAGAAAAGGAGAAAGAAUUGCUUAUACAUGAAAGAGGGGCAUCAGGUAUGUUUGGAAUUGUUUUAUUUAUAGAGUUCUUAUUGUUUAUAGCAGAAAAUGCAGUUAAAUCCAUAUAUCCAUUUUCAUAAAAUAUCAAUAAAAUAUUCUUAUGUAUAUGGUCUUAUCUACAUUGAUUGUUUUGCUGAAGUAUGUUAGAGACUGUUUCCUGAGGUUUUUAAAUUUUAAUGCAAGCAUUUUCUCUGCAUUCUUUACAUUCAUAUCGUUUUUCACACCUAUGAGGAUUGUUUUGUUUAAUCUCUUGACACCGUCCUCUCUCAGUUCUUGAUUUCCUUAUAUUCUUAGAGGGAGAGUUCAGAUUUGAAGUGCAUUUUUCAUUUCAAAUGGAAAGACUUAACUGAGAAACUGGCUGUGCACAUCUUUGCAUGCAGAUGGCCAUAUGAAUGUGAUUAAGUAAUAAGAAAGAC
Molecule: small RNA, 719 nt
Filed under: Pan troglodytes (chimpanzee)
Lineage: Eukaryota; Metazoa; Chordata; Mammalia; Primates; Hominidae
Description: retained intron
Source: RNAcentral